Long non-coding RNA from Thamnophis sirtalis, 546 nucleotides. RefSeq lists it as uncharacterized. NCBI's taxonomy places the organism in Eukaryota, Metazoa, Chordata, Lepidosauria, Squamata, Natricidae. The record is from RefSeq and is a predicted model, not a curated record.
AACGAAGUGCGGGAAAGGCUUGGGGAGGGUUACUCAGGGCAGAAAAAACCCUUAGUUUGUCCAGAGCUGUAUUCUAGGUUCAGGAAAGGGAGGGAGAAAAUGGGGGUUCCGUCUUUGAACUGGGUCAGAAGUACAAAGAGUUCAAAAAUUGUCUUCCUGCCAGAGAAAGAGAAGCAUUUCGUUCUUUCGAGAAAGAAUGGAAGUGAAGGAGCAUGGGAUAAUAGUGAUGUAGUUUAUUAUAAAUGAUUAUCUCAGCUUCAAAGAAAUCAUUAAUCAGUUCCUGAGUGGGGAAUCUGGUGGAGCAGAAAAGAAAAGGUGGUUUAAUUCUGAAUCAGGGAAAUUGAUUUGACAGCUUGAUUCAUCUGGGACCCCGGUUUUCAGGGAGGCUGAAAAUAUAUCAAGGAACUAGUAUAAAAGGAACCUAGACUGAAACCUACCCUUCUGAUGGGGCCUGAAGACUUGGAUGUGCCAUCGUGCCUCGAGGUCUGACAGUAAUAGUGAACCUUUGGCAAUGAUUAUAUUAAAUGGAUGUACGGUUUAUAUUCA